ACGCAACGCGAAGAACUUACCAGGCCUUGACAUCCCUCGACAGCCUCAGAGAUGAGGUGUUCUGGUUUCCAGACAGGGAGACAGGUGUUUGCAUGGUUGUCGUCAGCUCGUGUCGUGAGAUGUUGGGUUAAGUCCCGCAACGAGCGCAACCCCCGUUCUGUGUUGCCAGCGUAAAGUCGGGCACUCACAGGAGACUGCCGGAGACAAUUCGGAGGAAGGUGGGGAUGACGUCAAAUCCUCAUGGCCCUUAUGACCUGGGCUACACACGCGCUACAAUGGCCUGUACAGAGGGAAGCGAAAGAGCGAUCUGGAGCGAAUCUCACAAAACAGGUCUCAGUUCGGAUUGCAGGCUGAAACCCGCCUGCAUGAAGCCGGAAUUGCUAGUAAUCGCAGAUCAGCUACGCUGCGGUGAAUACGUUCUCGGGCCUU
RNAcentral lists this ribosomal RNA (429 nucleotides) under uncultured Eubacteriales bacterium. RNAcentral's name for it is "bacterial SSU rRNA". It matches the Rfam family "Bacterial small subunit ribosomal RNA", at positions 954 to 1382 of the family's 1533-position model. Lineage: Bacteria; Bacillati; Bacillota; Clostridia; Eubacteriales. The record is from RNAcentral.